CAGGUGGUGCAUGGUUGUCGUCAGCUCGUGUCGUGAGAUGUUGGGUUAAGUCCCGCAACGAGCGCAACCCUCGUUCCAUGUUGCCAGCACGUAGUGGUGGGGACUCAUGGGAGACUGCCGGGGUCAACUCGGAGGAAGGUGGGGAUGACGUCAAAUCAUCAUGCCCCUUAUGUCUUGGGCUUCACGCAUGCUACAAUGGCCGGUACAAUGGGUUGCGAUACUGUGAGGUGGAGCUAAUCCCUAAAAGCCGGUCUCAGUUCGGAUUGGGGUCUGCAACUCGACCCCAUGAAGUCGGAGUCGUUAGUAAUCGCAGAUCAGCAACGCUGCGGUGAAUACGUUCCCGGGCCUUGUACACACCGCCCGUCAAGUCACGAAAGUUGGUAACACCCGAAGCCGAUGGCCUAACCACCUUGUGUGGGGGGAGUCGUCGAAGGUGGGAC
RNAcentral lists this ribosomal RNA (440 nucleotides) under Glutamicibacter sp. Its description in RNAcentral is "bacterial SSU rRNA". It matches the Rfam family "Bacterial small subunit ribosomal RNA", at positions 1035 to 1468 of the family's 1533-position model. Lineage: Bacteria; Bacillati; Actinomycetota; Actinomycetes; Micrococcales; Micrococcaceae. The record is from RNAcentral.